This 152-nucleotide small nuclear RNA is filed under the name Mus musculus (house mouse). RNAcentral describes it as "U2 spliceosomal RNA". It matches the Rfam family "U2 spliceosomal RNA". From Rfam's summary of the family: U2 is a small nuclear RNA (snRNA) component of the spliceosome (involved in pre-mRNA splicing). Complementary binding between U2 snRNA (in an area lying towards the 5' end but 3' to hairpin I) and the branchpoint sequence (BPS) of the intron results the bulging out of an unpaired adenosine, on the BPS, which initiates a nucleophilic attack at the intronic 5' splice site, thus starting the first of two transesterification reactions that mediate splicing. The record is from Rfam by way of RNAcentral. Lineage: Eukaryota; Metazoa; Chordata; Mammalia; Rodentia; Muridae.
AUCGCUUCUUGGCCUUUUGGCUAAGAUCAAGUGUAGAAAACUUUCAACUCUUCUUUCUAAAUAAGAUGCCGUGUUCUGUCUGACUUUACUUAAUGACAAAUGUCAGGGUUUGUUUUUCAGAGUGUCAUGAAACUGUUCUAACCAAGCUACAU